Molecule: long non-coding RNA, 466 nt
Organism: Myiozetetes cayanensis
Lineage: Eukaryota; Metazoa; Chordata; Aves; Passeriformes; Tyrannidae
Exons: 3
Source: RefSeq, a predicted model, not a curated record
GGUUGAGCUGCCGUAAUCCCCAGAAGAUUCAACAUGAAGUACACAGAGAGAAAUUUGCUACAAAAAUCUAAGUAAUCAAAGUUAAAAAAUUGGUGCAGAGAAGAUCACAUACAAAAGAUCAUCCAAGGAAGACCUGAGACAUCCCACAUUUCAGAAGACUCUAUGCAAACACUCAAGAGUGAACAAACCAAAAUGACCCAAGCUGUUUUUAAUGAAGAUUCUCCACAAAGCCCAGAAAAUCAGUGAGCCCUUCUGCAAGAAUAAACAUCAAAUAAAACCGAAGAUUUUAAACCAGUAAUUUUUGUUGGUGUUUUCUACAGAUAGUCCAUGAGAAACUUUCUACUUCAUUUCCCUACAGUGAGAUCAUCUUUAGCUAUAGAAAUUAAUGUGAUGUUAAAAAUAAGCAUGGUGAGGUUAUGCUGUAUGAUGAGCUGAGGAAAGAGAUUGAAACAGUAAAGGGUUUCUC